This 253-nucleotide ribosomal RNA is filed under the name uncultured bacterium. RNAcentral's name for it is "partial 16S ribosomal RNA". It matches the Rfam family "Bacterial small subunit ribosomal RNA", at positions 524 to 776 of the family's 1533-position model. The record is from RNAcentral.
UACGUAGGGUGCAAGCGUUAAUCGGAAUUACUGGGCGUAAAGCGUGCGCAGGCGGCUUUGCAAGACAGAUGUGAAAUCCCCGGGCUCAACCUGGGAACUGCAUUUGUGACUGCAAGGCUAGAGUACGGCAGAGGGGGAUGGAAUUCCGCGUGUAGCGGUGAAAUGCGUAGAUAUGCGGAGGAACACCAAUGGCGAAGGCAAUCCCCUGGGCCUGUACUGACGCUCAUGCACGAAAGCGUGGGGAGCAAACAGG